AGUGAACGCUGGCGGUAGGCCUAACACAUGCAAGUCGAACGGCAGCACAGUAAGAGCUUGCUCUUACGGGUGGCGAGUGGCGGACGGGUGAGGAAUACAUCGGACUCUACUUUUUCGUGGGGGAUAACGUAGGGAAACUUACGCUAAUACCGCAUACGACCUACGGGUGAAAGCAGGGGAUCUUCGGACCUUGCGCGAUUGAAUGAGCCGAUGUCGGAUUAGCUAGUUGGCGGGGUAAAGGCCCACCAAGGCGACGAUCCGUAGCUGGUCUGAGAGGAUGAUCGGCCACACGGGAACUGGGACAGGGUCCAGACUACUACGAGAGGCAGCAGUGGGGAAUAUUGGACAAUGGGCGCAAGCCUGAUCCAGCCAUACCGCGUGGGUGAAGAAGGCCUUCGGGUUGUAAAGCCCUUUUGUUGGGAAAGAAAAGCAGCAGGUUAAUACCCCGCUGUUCUGACGGUACCCAAAGAAUAAGCACCGGCUAACUUCGUG
Molecule: ribosomal RNA, 492 nt
Filed under: uncultured bacterium
Lineage: Bacteria
Description: partial 16S ribosomal RNA
Rfam family: Bacterial small subunit ribosomal RNA
Source: RNAcentral